GGUGGUUCUCGGGUGACACACUCCCCAGAAUUGGGCUCCUUCCUCUCUGGUUCUAGGUGCAUCACCCGAGAACCACA
Non-coding RNA from Myotis brandtii (Brandt's bat), 77 nucleotides. The record is from Rfam. NCBI's taxonomy places the organism in Eukaryota, Metazoa, Chordata, Mammalia, Chiroptera, Vespertilionidae.